This 386-nucleotide ribosomal RNA is filed under the name uncultured bacterium. Its description in RNAcentral is "bacterial SSU rRNA". It matches the Rfam family "Bacterial small subunit ribosomal RNA", at positions 29 to 418 of the family's 1533-position model. The record is from RNAcentral.
AUUGAACGCUGGCGGCAUGCCUUACACAUGCAAGUCGAACGGCAGCGGACCUUCGGGUGCCGGCGAGUGGCGAACGGGUGAGUAAUAUAUCGGAACGUACCUUUCAGUGGGGGAUAACGUAGCGAAAGUUACGCUAAUACCGCAUAAGCCCUGAGGGGGAAAGUGGGGGACCGCAAGGCCUCACGCGAAUGGAGCGGCCGAUGUCAGAUUAGCUAGUUGGUGGGGUAAAGGCCCACCAAGGCGACGAUCUGUAGCGGGUCUGAGAGGAUGAUCCGCCACACUGGGACUGAGACACGGCCCAGACUCCUACGGGAGGCAGCAGUGGGGAAUUUUGGACAAUGGGCGCAAGCCUGAUCCAGCCAUGCCGCGUGCGGGACGAAGGCCUC